UGGGGAAUUUUGGACAAUGGGCGCAAGCCUGAUCCAGCCAUGCCGCGUGUCUGAAGAAGGCCUUCGGGUUGUAAAGGACUUUUGUCAGGGAAGAAAAGGCUGUUGCUAAUAUCGACAGCUGAUGACGGUACCUGAAGAAUAAGCACCGGCUAACUACGUGCCAGCAGCCGCGGUAAUACGUAGGGUGCGAGCGUUAAUCGGAAUUACUGGGCGUAAAGCGAGCGCAGACGGUUACUUAAGCAGGAUGUGAAAUCCCCGGGCUCAACCUGGGAACUGCGUUCUGAACUGGGUGACUAGAGUGUGUCAGAGGGAGGUAGAAUUCCACGUGUAGCAGUGAAAUGCGUAGAGAUGUGGAGGAAUACCGAUGGCGAAGGCAGCCUCCUGGGAUAACACUGACGUUCAUGCCCGAAAGCGUGGGUAGCAAACAGGAUUAGAUACCCUGGUAGUCCACGCCCUAAACGAUGUCGAUUAGCUGUUGGGCAGCUUGACUGCUUAGUAGCGAAGCUAACGCGUGAAAUCGACCGCCUGGGGAGUACGGUCGCAAGAUUA
This 549-nucleotide ribosomal RNA is filed under the name uncultured bacterium. RNAcentral describes it as "bacterial SSU rRNA". It matches the Rfam family "Bacterial small subunit ribosomal RNA", at positions 355 to 896 of the family's 1533-position model. The record is from RNAcentral.